Molecule: ribosomal RNA, 493 nt
Filed under: uncultured bacterium
Lineage: Bacteria
Description: partial 16S ribosomal RNA
Rfam family: Bacterial small subunit ribosomal RNA
Source: RNAcentral
AGUGAACGCUGGCGGUAGGCCUAACACAUGCAAGUCGAACGGCAGCACAGUAAGAGCUUGCUCUUACGGGUGGCGAGUGGCGGACGGGUGAGGAAUACAUCGGAAUCUACUUUUUCGUGGGGGAUAACGUAGGGAAACUUACGCUAAUACCGCAUACGACCUACGGGUGAAAGCAGGGGAUCUUCGGACCUUGCGCGAUUGAAUGAGCCGAUGUCGGAUUAGCUAGUUGGCGGGGUAAAGGCCCACCAAGGCGACGAUCGGUAGCUGGUCUGAGAGGAUGAUCAGCCACACUGGAACUGAGACACGGUCCAGACUCCUACGGGAGGCAGCAGUGGGGAAUAUUGGACAAUGGGCGCAAGCCUGAUCCAGCCAUACCGCGUGGGUGAAGAAGGCCUUCGGGUUGUAAAGCCCUUUUGUUGGGAAAGAAAAGCAGCAGGUUAAUACCCCGCUGUUCUGACGGUACCCAAAGAAUAAGCACCGGCUAACUUCGUGC